CAGGACGAACGCUGGCGGCGUGCCUAAUACAUGCAAGUCGAGCGGACCGACGGGAGCUUGCUCCCUUGGGUCAGCGGCGGACGGGUGAGUAACACGUGGGUAACCUGCCUGUAAGACUGGGAUAACUCCGGGAAACCGGGGCUAAUACCGGAUGCUUGAUUGAACCGCAUGGUCAAUCAUAAAAGGUGGCUUUUAGCUACCACUUGCAGAUGGACCCGCGGCGCAUUAGCUAGUUGGUGAGGUAACGGCUCACCAAGGCGACGAUGCGUAGCCGACCUGAGAGGGUGAUCGGCCACACUGGGACUGAGACACGGCCCAGACUCCUACGGGAGGCAGCAGUAGGGAAUCUUCCGCAAUGGACGAAAGUCUGACGGAGCAACGCCGCCGUGAGUGAUGAAGGUUUUCGGAUCGUAAAACUCUGUUGUUAGGGAAGAACAAGUACCGUUCGAAUAGGGCGGCACCUUGACGGUACCUAACCAGAAAGCCACGGCUAACUACGUGCCAGCCGCGGC
RNAcentral lists this ribosomal RNA (512 nucleotides) under uncultured bacterium. Its description in RNAcentral is "bacterial SSU rRNA". It matches the Rfam family "Bacterial small subunit ribosomal RNA", at positions 25 to 518 of the family's 1533-position model. The record is from RNAcentral.